GCAGCAGCAAUCAGGCUCACUGGACUUACUUUUCAAGAAGUUAAGGAAGAUAACUGGAGAUGUGAUAACGAUACCAGAAGACUGAGAAGAAACUGACCCUCAUUAGAAAGAUGAUGGAGACCACAUUUCCCC
Perca fluviatilis (European perch) is the source of this 132-nucleotide long non-coding RNA. RefSeq lists it as uncharacterized. NCBI's taxonomy places the organism in Eukaryota, Metazoa, Chordata, Actinopteri, Perciformes, Percidae. The record is from RefSeq and is a predicted model, not a curated record. The transcript has 3 exons.